UUGGCCUGAAUAAACAGGUCACGCACAAAUCUCGGCCAGCGCUAUGUGCACAACUCCAAUAUGCACUUAUCCAGAGGACUAUUUUUGCAUGAAGAAAUCAAACUUGUGAAUAAUGCUACACCGAAUCCAUUAUAUUUCUUCUAGAGGCAUAUCCUGUUUCAGGCGACAUUUCCACAAGCAGCCAGAAUGAAAUUCUUUGUGGUUGGGGUAUUUCUACUUCCUGAUGUCGACUCCAAGGAAACCAACAAGGACAUCUCUGGCACACGUCGCUGCAUCUGCUCUGUGUCGCGGGUGCCUGAAAUGGUUUGCUGAAAUGCCAUAGGUGCAUUAUUAGGCCAAAAGGGAGGCGAUUCCAUUCAAAAACACCAUCGGGUGUAAUGAAGGCCGACUUGUGAUUUGUAUCUGGAUGGAGUGGUACAUGCCAAAAGCCACUAGCACAAUCAAGGACACUAAAAGUUUUGGCAUGGCUAUCGCCUAUAUAUGGCAUCAACAACAUCUUCAAAACGUGGUACAGGGGAAACUAUAGGCAUGGUAACCGCAUUGAGGUCUAAUGGGUCUGGCGUCACCUGCUUCUAUUUUGUGAUGAGCAGUAAAGACACCCAUGUCAGCUGGCAGCACGCAUGGAUUAACAUUCUACACUGCACUGCAUAUUUGUUAAAUGAACAAACAAAUGCAAACAUUUGUGUAUGGUGAUCUUCUUCAACCAAUUGAGGAAUCUCUUCCAGGCACUGACAUCUUGUCUACCUCGGAGAAUACUAUGUACAGUUCAACAUCGGGUAGCUUACUUAGUGAGUGAGUGACGUUAGUUUUUAAAGGGGAGGGGGGAUUUUGUAUUGAGACCUGUUAUUUAUUAAUUAAAAGUAUGACACCCUGACCAGGUUGUCAGAAGCCCUUUGGACAGAGCAGGACUCCACGGCUUCCUUGAUGAAGACAUUGCAAGUUGUCAGAAGCCCCCUGGACAGAGCAGGACUCCACGGCUGCCUUGAUGAAGACAUUGCAAGUUGUCAGAAGACCCCUGGACAGAGCAGGACUUCACGUCAGCAUUCAUGAAGACAUUGAAGGUUGUCGGAUGACACCUUGACAGAACGGGAUUUCACGUCAGCAUUCAUGUAGAGAUUGCAGGUUGUCAGAAAACCUUUGGACAAAACAAACCCCCAAACAAUCACAAACUCAUUCACUCAUUCAUCACCAAUUUAACUUGUUGCCCCAGUGUAAAGUAUGUGUGAAUUGCGACAAAGAUGUAAGUUUCCCUUAUGGGUAAAUGGUUAUCAGCAGACCGCUGCCUACACGUCUUGGCAUAUAUGGAGUGGAAGUGAGAACCCAGUUACUGGUGUUGGACAGGGAGAUAAGCCACCUUGUAGAUAGCCCAGUUUAGUUUGGGUACAUCCUGUGCAAACAGAUUGGAGGUUGAGAUAACACUGAUAGGCCCCAGUAGGUGGACAAUGACUUUCUGUGUUAUCGUCAUAAAGACCAACAACUAUAUAAAUAUGUUUUGAUCGUACAUUUAAGAAGAACUGUAAAUUUAUGACAAAUUGGUUUCAUCUUUGUAAAUAAUUAAUAUGCAAAACGUCUUUCGGAAUAUGUAACAGAUAAUUAAUGUUUCUUUGAAAUACAUGCACGUGGAUCUAUUGAACCACAGUAGAGCAAUACCAUUGAUCAGUUGGAAGAACAUGAAGGCAUGAGACAUGAAAUUCUUUAAAUUGAAUUCCAAAAUAGCCCCUUGUUUUCAAUCAGCUACGAUCCGUCUAACCUCUAUCCAUCUAUUUCACAACGUGACUCCAAACUUCAAAUCGGCAAAACAAUUAACAGACAUGUUAUGUGCCCAGUUUAGUCUCCAGUGUGGUCAUUCCGUCCACGAGCAAACACUGAAAGAAUUGACACCACCUAUGUGCAAACAUAACUAGUUUAGGGUGAAUUUGCUUUGAAUAAACAUCAUUUUAAAAGAAUAUUAAAGUCCUACAAAUCAAUUUAUGGUUAUGUUUCUACUUUAACAACCGCAUCACCGUGUACAGGCCAGACUUGGAGGAAUUGCACGAGGAAAAGUUGAAAGGCAGCCAUACUAGAAGAUGUUUAUCCCCCUUGGGGCACUGCACAUAUUAUACUAGUAUGUGAUGAACGUGUUUAACGAAAACAUGCCGCUAUCUUCGCAAUGAGUUCAAUGAGACAUGUUAAAUUCGAGCAGUAAUGAGUAUUGAAGAUACCCUGCAAAGACCAGCCAGUAAUCUACCUGUAUUUAAAUUGUGAAGUGGACCCGAAACCUGACGAUGAAAUUGUCACAGUGGGACAAAGAUAUAUUCAAGAAAGGACAAGAAAGUCCAUGAUAUGGGUUUGCAAUGUUUUCGAAACCUGACAAAUUGCAAGAAAUGACAAAAUCUCAAAAGGAGAUACUGUAUGUCGAACAUAUAACCAACAAGCUGAAUGAUGUAAACGACGAGGAAUUGAACGAUAGUCUGCGGAGAUUUGUGUGUGCAGCACCCACAGAUGAGGUUAUCACCAAAAACACCUACAGCCCAGUACCCCUACACUUGGUUAAAACAACAAAGGGGUUUCACCUACUUAUAAUGGAACAGUCUCAAAGACUAAUUAAUCCAGAGUGAAGAGUGAAGGAUGAAGCAAGUAAAGACAAGCUGGAUUAACAUUUGGAAAGAUUAACUGAAACUGAGUAAAAGAUUAUAUUAAUUAACUUAAGAUUGGUUUGUUUAAACAUAUUAUAUAUAUAAAGAAACCUGAACUGGUGAAUAAGCAGGUUUGCCUUUUUUUAACACUGUCCCGGGAAAUACAGAAUUGGUUUAAAACCGAGUAAAGGUUGAAGCAUGAG
Haliotis rufescens (red abalone) is the source of this 2818-nucleotide long non-coding RNA. RefSeq lists it as uncharacterized. Lineage: Eukaryota; Metazoa; Mollusca; Gastropoda; Lepetellida; Haliotidae. The record is from RefSeq and is a predicted model, not a curated record. The transcript is spliced from 4 exons.